This 68-nucleotide transfer RNA is filed under the name Ochotona roylei (Royle's pika). RNAcentral describes it as "tRNA-Val". It matches the Rfam family "tRNA". Rfam says of the family: Transfer RNA (tRNA) molecules are approximately 80 nucleotides in length. Their secondary structure includes four short double-helical elements and three loops (D, anti-codon, and T loops). Lineage: Eukaryota; Metazoa; Chordata; Mammalia; Lagomorpha; Ochotonidae. The record is from RNAcentral.
CAAAGCGUAGCUUAAUCAAAGCAUCUGACUUACACUCAGAAGAUUUCACAUCACCGUGACCACUUUGA